RNAcentral lists this ribosomal RNA (451 nucleotides) under uncultured bacterium. RNAcentral's name for it is "bacterial SSU rRNA". It matches the Rfam family "Bacterial small subunit ribosomal RNA", at positions 29 to 524 of the family's 1533-position model. The record is from RNAcentral.
AGCGAACGCUGGCGGCAGGCCUAAUACAUGCAAGUCGAACGGUCUCUUCGGAGGCAGUGGCGGACGGGUGAGUAACGCGUGGGAACGUGCCCUUUGUUACGGAACAACUGAGGGAAACUUCAGCUAAUACCGUAUGUGCCCUUCGGGGGAAAGAUUUAUCGCCAUUGGAGCGGCCCGCGUUGGAUUAGCUAGUUGGUGGGGUAAUGGCCCACCAAGGCGACGAUCCAUAGCUGGUCUGAGAGGAUGAUCAGCCACACUGGGACUGAGACACGGCCCAGACUCCUACGGGAGGCAGCAGUAGGGAAUCUUGCGCAAUGGGCGAAAGCCUGACGCAGCCAUGCCGCGUGAAUGAUGAAGGUCUUAGGAUUGUAAAAUUCUUUCACCGGGGACGAUAAUGACGGUACCCGGAGAAGGAAGCCCCGGCUAACUUCGUGCCAGCAGCCGCGGUAAU